Molecule: long non-coding RNA, 1189 nt
Filed under: Vigna radiata
Lineage: Eukaryota; Viridiplantae; Streptophyta; Magnoliopsida; Fabales; Fabaceae
Description: long non-coding RNA (VRAD_LNC014102)
Source: RNAcentral
UCUCUUUAAAGUCAUAAGGCUAGAGAGUCCAAAGACUCCCUCUAGCCACCUUCCAACACAGUACCUCAUUCUUCCAUUUUCCAUUUCACCAUUGUGCUCUCUCUCAUUUGACUACAUCACCAUUGCUUAGUCCGCUUUAGCGUCAGCUACUAGCCACGCGUCCUCUUUCACAUCAACGUCAGCACAUCACUUUUCAUUUUCACUCGCGAGAGCACUUCAGAAGCUACAUCUUCCAAACAUUUAUCAUUCUCUCUCACAUCAGCACACUAUUUCAUUCUCGCUCUCGAGCUCCUCACUAUAAGCUCCAUUUCCUAUUCACAGAUUUACCUCUUCUCUUCACAAAUCUGUUUUUCCUUCACCGUUUCAUCAAUUUCUUCAUCUUUCUUACACUGUCACCGAUUCAUCUCCAUGUUCUGUUAGUGUUUUUCCCAUUCUUCACUGUUUCCGUCCAUUUUGACCGGUUAAAACCUCUUUUACUUCGUUCAAACACAUUUCCACCGUUUAACUUUGAGUUUGAACCGAUUAAUUGGUUCAUUUUUAGCUUCUCCCCUUUUCUAAGGUUUCGUCGGUCUAAGUCUUGGUUCUCUAAGAUUCUUCUUAGAUUUGCUCCAUUCUCUUUCGACUUCUCUCUAAACUAAAGGUUCUACAACAUUUUCCGCUGCGUCUUCUUUAUCGGAGAAGCUUCGAGGAGUCUGCAUCGCCUCUUGCUUAACUUCCAUCAAAACUUUUCUCCCCCUUUGUGCAUUAGCAAAAAAGGUUUGCUUUUAGAUAAUGAUAUGCUGAUAAAAUGAAAUACAAGAGAUGCAUCAAUGUAAACUAGUUAUAAACCCAGACAAAGAUGUUCCCCCUAUCACAGAUAUUAACAUGAGAAGGAAAAUCUCCCCCUAAAGUGUAAGAAUGUGAAAAAUCUAUGCAAUCAUGUAAUGCUCCCCCUGCCAUUAUGCAUAUUUUAAAAUCAAAAUCCGGAUGCACAAUGUAGUUUCACAAGUAUCAAAGCAUAUAACCGUUUGUAUCAGAAUUGUAUCAGACUUAAAAUUGCAAACAACUCAAUCAAGCAAAGAUAAAAUUAUCAACAAUCUGAUAAUAUAUUCUCAUAGAUAUAACAAUCAAAUAGAAACAGAGAUAUAUUGAAGAUAACUGAUAACAAUUCAAAAAACCGUUAUUUUUAUACUUAAAUUUGAUACAAAAC